AGCUUUGCGCAGUGGCGAUACCAUAGCCAGUGAGGUUUAUCCGAGGCGUGGUUAUUGCUAGUUGAAAACUAUUCCCAAUACCCCGAACUGACGCCUUUAAUUGGGCGGAACGUUCAAUUUUUGAUAGCCCCUACGGGGG
Molecule: small nuclear RNA, 139 nt
Filed under: Gigantopelta aegis
Lineage: Eukaryota; Metazoa; Mollusca; Gastropoda; Neomphalida; Peltospiridae
Description: U4 spliceosomal RNA
Rfam family: U4 spliceosomal RNA
About the family: U4 small nuclear RNA (U4 snRNA) is a component of the major U2-dependent spliceosome. The structure of U4 snRNA from yeast and human has been reported. U4 snRNA presents a k-turn RNA motif in the 5p-SL related to recognition of Snu13 protein.
Source: RNAcentral